GUCAGCAAGAACAGCUGACUGAAAGCAAACAUGCGCAUUGCGUAAUCUCUUUCUCUAUCAUUCUUGAUGUAUAACUAUAAUAUAGUGCUUUCAAUUGUAUUGCGCAUUCAUCAUCCGUACGCAAUAUUUAUUAAAAAUUCCUUGCAUAAAUCUCACACAAUUCAACAAGAAAUGAAUAUGCUGUUAUUAUAAAAGUCAUUAAUUGUUUUACCGUGAUACGAAAAAUUGUAGUCACUAUCGUUCUACCGAGUAACGAACUAUCCAUCUGGCAAGCUUGGUAAUUGUUUCGUUACUCGUUAAUAUCACAUCAGCUGUUUGUUUGUUGUUCGUUGCUUUAUAUAUUUCUAAACGGGAAAAAUUAAUUUGGUGCUCACUUCGUGAAUUUGGAAAAAUUUUGCAAAAUGGAACCUCAAAAGAAAAUACGCAGGAGGGCAAAGCCUAAAAAAAAUGGAGUGAGGAGGAAAACCAUUUGGUUCUAGAAUAUUUAAUACGUCUUUUUAUAGAAACCAAACGCCCAAUUGUACUACCGAAAAUUAAUUCAAACAACAAAUAUCAAUGCGACUACGGACAUGUUGCGCUGCAAGGUCCGGUUCUGGAAGCAGAUGUAUAAUAAAGCAUAAGCACAGGUGCUGGAAUAGACGUUGGCGAUCAUGUUUCCUCAAUAAAAGGUAAAUACGGCUAUAAUGUUAAUUGAAACUUUUUUGGUUUUUUAAUAAUUCUCCGUUCUUUCCGCAAAACUUUCACAAAUGUGUCUGAAUUAUAAACGGUUUUCGGUUCUAUUUGGGAGUAAAUCCGAAGCCAAUUGUGUUGUAGACGUGCAACUCUGAAGUGUCACAAUACUGCAGCGAUUUUGCAGACCUUGUAGAGGUAGUGGAAAAUCCAGCCGAAUCAUCACAAUUAUCUGCGGAAACAUCGGGUUCUCUUAACGACAAAGCAGAACAGACAACAGUAGGAGAAGAGGUAGCAACAGUUCCUCCUACCAUACCAUCGUUCCUCGAAAAAGUGAAAAAACGUGCUCCAAAGAAUAUACAAAAGAAAAGAGAACAGUUUUUUGAGCAACGAAUAGAAAUUGAAAAAGAAAAGUUAAAGCUAGAAUUGGACAGAGAAAAGUUAAAUAAAGAUUUUGAAAUAAAAAAAUUGGAGUUAGAGCAAAAAGAAAGACUCGCACUGAUUGAAAUAACGUACAAAUAUAAUAUAUAACAAUUUUAUAUGUUUUGUAUAAUAAUAUUUAAGAAUGUUUGUGUAAUAAGAAUGAAUUUUAUAUGCAAUUGCUAUGUUGGGUAACAUUUAGAUUAGCAUCCCCGGAUUUCGGGGAUAAAAUGGGUGUCACUGGAAAGGUGGCGUUCUCCAGAUCUCGAAAAUAUAUACAUUUAGUUGCCGCUGA
Molecule: long non-coding RNA, 1384 nt
Filed under: Bactrocera tryoni
Lineage: Eukaryota; Metazoa; Arthropoda; Insecta; Diptera; Tephritidae
Description: uncharacterized LOC120779725, transcript variant X1
Source: RNAcentral